CAAACGUGGAUACUCCUGGGAGGUCACUCUCCCUGGGCUCUGUCCAGGUGGCGUAGGGGAGCGUAGGGUUCUGCCGCAUGAUGUACAGUCCAUUUCCAUCACGCCUUGAGUCUGUGCCUGCAUAUUCCUACAGAUUCUCAGAGUCCUGUGGACGAUGACAGAGGAGACAAACCAUGCGGGAAACAGCU
Ailuropoda melanoleuca (giant panda) is the source of this 188-nucleotide small nucleolar RNA. Its record names the gene SNORA73. It matches the Rfam family "Small nucleolar RNA SNORA73 family". From Rfam's summary of the family: U17 (SNORA73A and SNORA73B) also known as E1 belongs to the H/ACA class of small nucleolar RNAs (snoRNAs). The record is from Ensembl. Lineage: Eukaryota; Metazoa; Chordata; Mammalia; Carnivora; Ursidae.